This 255-nucleotide ribosomal RNA is filed under the name uncultured bacterium. RNAcentral's name for it is "partial 16S ribosomal RNA". It matches the Rfam family "Bacterial small subunit ribosomal RNA", at positions 99 to 354 of the family's 1533-position model. The record is from RNAcentral.
CGGACGGGUGAGUAACGCGUGGGUAACCUGCCUUGCACUGGGGGAUAACACUUAGAAAUAGGUGCUAAUACCGCAUAAGCGCACGGUCCUGCAUGGGACAGUGUGAAAAACUCCGGUGGUGCAAGAUGGACCCGCGUCUGAUUAGCUGGUUGGCGGGGUAAAGGCCCACCAAGGCGACGAUCAGUAGCCGACCUGAGAGGGUGGCCGGCCACAUUGGGACUGAGACACGGCCCAGACUCCUACGGAAGGCAGCAG